Molecule: ribosomal RNA, 492 nt
Filed under: uncultured bacterium
Lineage: Bacteria
Description: partial 16S ribosomal RNA
Rfam family: Bacterial small subunit ribosomal RNA
Source: RNAcentral
AGUGAACGCUGGCGGUAGGCCUAACACAUGCAAGUCGAACGGCAGCACAGUAAGAGCUUGCUCUUACGGGUGGCGAGUGGCGGACGGGUGAGGAAUACAUCGGAAUCUACUUUUUCGUGGGGGAUAACGUAGGGAAACUUACGCUAAUACCGCAUACGACCUACAGGUGAAAGCAGGGGAUCUUCGGACCUUGCGCGAUUGAAUGAGCCGAUGUCGGAUUAGCUAGUUGGCGGGGUAAGGGCCCACCAAGGCGACGAUCCGUAGCUGGUCUGAGAGGAUGAUCAGCCACACUGGAACUGAGACACGGUCCAGACUCCUACGGGAGGCAGCAGUGGGGAAUAUUGGACAAUGGGCGCAAGCCUGAUCCAGCCAUACCGCGUGGGUGAAGGAGGCCUUCGGGUUGUAAAGCCCUUUUGUUGGGAAAGAAAAGCAGCAGGUUAAUACCCCGCUGUUCUGACGGUACCCAAAGAAUAAGCACCGGCUAACUUCGUG